AGCGACUCAGCCAGUGCAACUGAAUGUUGGACACCCCACUCACAUGAUGAGCUAAUAUGGAGUUCAGAUCCAGCUUCAGAUGAGGAAGAAGAAGGAGAGUUAUGCCUGCGGUGCUUACAUUUCCUCUGCCCCCUGCAUGCCUCAUGGCUGGCCUCAAAUGCCUUCUUAAUGGCCAUAGCCACCCAUUCUUGGCAAUCAGUGGGAUCACUAGAGCCCCCCAUUCCAUCCUCAGCUUCUUCCAAUUGACAUCGAUUCAGAGAUCGUGCAGCAACUGGAGCACAUAGUGGAUCUGCAAACAUAACCUUUCUUCGUCAACGCAGAAGCCAGUCAUCUAAAUAUGGAUGGACUAUGAUCCCUUCCAUCCUUAAGUAUGCCACUACCACAGACAUAACUUUCGUGAAAAUACACAAGGCUGUUGAUAGUCUGAACAGAAGAACAGUGUAUUGAUACUGUCAGAUAACUCCCACGGUGCAGCUUCUUUUUAAGAUUUUGGCACUCUUCAUCAAACCAAGGUUUGUGUAUGGAGAGGUGUGUAUCCAAAUUGGCUUUAAGAGGAUAGCAAAGAUUAUUGCGCAAAAGGUCGAUUAUCUGGUGAAAAGCGCAUUUUACAUCAGUUCCCUUCACAAUUUGUUCCUUCAGGUUCAAUAAAGUAUCAGAG
Long non-coding RNA from Hemicordylus capensis (graceful crag lizard), 658 nucleotides. RefSeq lists it as uncharacterized. The transcript has 4 exons. The record is from RefSeq and is a predicted model, not a curated record. Lineage: Eukaryota; Metazoa; Chordata; Lepidosauria; Squamata; Cordylidae.